RNAcentral lists this long non-coding RNA (733 nucleotides) under Monodelphis domestica (gray short-tailed opossum). RNAcentral describes it as "lncRNA (ENSMODG00000040603.1)". The record is from RNAcentral. Lineage: Eukaryota; Metazoa; Chordata; Mammalia; Didelphimorphia; Didelphidae.
AUGUUAGAGGUUGAAGAACAGAGUCUGAUUGAACUUCCUCACGGGCAUGGCUGGGGUCCCUCAAUCCCAGUAGAAACCCCAUUCCCUUCCCAACAGAGGCUCAGGUUUAACUUUUCAGCCUUGGUCCCCAGGUUCAGCCUUUCCCAGACUCUUUGGGGAACCUCACUGGAGAGGAAGCAAAGCCCUAUCCAGGGCUGCUUUGGGUUAGGGGGGGGGGCAGUUGUGGCAAGAGGGCUCACCAGUUUGAAUGGUGUCUUUAGACAUCCGGAGAGCUCGCUCUGCACCUGGCCAUCCGCCUUGCUGACCAGGCCUCCCUGCCCCUGGUGGAUUUCAUCAUCCAGAAUGGAGGCCACGUGGAUGCCAAGGCCCCAGACGGGAACACGGCUCUGCACCUCGGGGCCCUGCACAACCAGCCAGACUGCCUCAAGCUGCUGCUCAAAGGGAGAGCCUCUGUGGGCACAGUGAACGACGAUGGUGAUACCGCCUUGGAAGUGGCCCGGAAGAAUAAGCACAAAGAGUGUGAAGACCUGGUGAGUGAGAGGCCAGGACUGGGCUGGGCUGGGCCAGGACCCUUCUUGGCACUCUCUCUGACCAACCACCCCUCUCCCCUCUGGCUCGGUGACAGCUGGAACAGGCCCAGGCUGGGAGCCUCCUCCUCCCAUUCCACAUAGACUAUCCCUGGGGGGUUUCCGUGGACCCCGGAUCCGAGAGCGAGGAGGAGGAAGAUGACAAG